UUUAAAGAAAGCGUAAUAGCUCACUGGUCGAGUCGGCCUGCGCGGAAGAUGUAACGGGGCUAAACCAUGCACCGAAGCUGCGGCAGCGACACUAUGUGUUGUUGGGUAGGGGAGCGUUCUGUAAGCCUGUGAAGGUGUACUGUGAGGUAUGCUGGAGGUAUCAGAAGUGCGAAUGCUGACAUAAGUAACGAUAAAGCGGGUGAAAAGCCCGCUCGCCGGAAGACCAAGGGUUCCUGUCCAACGUUAAUCGGGGCAGGGUGAGUCGACCCCUAAGGCGAGGCCGAAAGGCGUAGUCGAUGGGAAACAGGUUAAUAUUCCUGUACUUGGUGUUACUGCGAAGGGGGGACGGAGAAGGCUAUGUUGGCCGGGCGACGGUUGUCCCGGUUUAAGCGUGUAGGCUGGUUUUCCAGGCAAAUCCGGAAAAUCAAGGCUGAGGCGUGAUGACGAGGCACUACGGUGCUGAAGCAACAAAUGCCCUGCUUCCAGGAAAAGCCUCUAAGCAUCAGGUAACAUCAAAUCGUACCCCAAACCGACACAGGUGGUCAGGUAGAGAAUACCAAGGCGCUUGAGAGAACUCGGGUGAAGGAACUAGGCAAAAUGGUGCCGUAACUUCGGGAGAAGGCACGCUGAUAUGUAGGUGAAGCGACUUGCUCGUGGAGCUGAAAUCAGUCGAAGAUACCAGCUGGCUGCAACUGUUUAUUAAAAACACAGCACUGUGCAAACACGAAAGUGGACGUAUACGGUGUGACGCCUGCCCGGUGCCGGAAGGUUAAUUGAUGGGGUUAGCGGUAACGCGAAGCUCUUGAUCGAAGCCCCGGUAAACGGCGGCCGUAACUAUAACGGUCCUAAGGUAGCGAAAUUCCUUGUCGGGUAAGUUCCGACCUGCACGAAUGGCGUAAUGAUGGCCAGGCUGUCUCCACCCGAGACUCAGUGAAAUUGAACUCGCUGUGAAGAUGCAGUGUACCCGCGGCAAGACGGAAAGACCCCGUGAACCUUUACUAUAGCUUGACACUGAACAUUGAGCCUUGAUGUGUAGGAUAGGUGGGAGGCUUUGAAGUGUGGACGCCAGUCUGCAUGGAGCCGACCUUGAAAUACCACCCUUUAAUGUUUGAUGUUCUAACGUUGGCCCGUUAUCCGGGUUGCGGACAGUGUCUGGUGGGUAGUUUGACUGGGGCGGUCUCCUCCUAAAGAGUAACGGAGGAGCACGAAGGUUGGCUAAUCCUGGUCGGACAUCAGGAGGUUAGUGCAAUGGCAUAAGCCAGCUUGACUGCGAGCGUGACGGCGCGAGCAGGUGCGAAAGCAGGUCAUAGUGAUCCGGUGGUUCUGAAUGGAAGGGCCAUCGCUCAACGGAUAAAAGGUACUCCGGGGAUAACAGGCUGAUACCGCCCAAGAGUUCAUAUCGACGGCGGUGUUUGGCACCUCGAUGUCGGCUCAUCACAUCCUGGGGCUGAAGUAGGUCCCAAGGGUAUGGCUGUUCGCCAUUUAAAGUGGUACGCGAGCUGGGUUUAGAACGUCGUGAGACAGUUCGGUCCCUAUCUGCCGUGGGCGCUGGAGAACUGAGGGGGGCUGCUCCUAGUACGAGAGGACCGGAGUGGACGCAUCACUGGUGUUCGGGUUGUCAUGCCAAUGGCACUGCCCGGUAGCUAAAUGCGGAAGAGAUAAGUGCUGAAAGCAUCUAAGCACGAAACUUGCCCCGAGAUGAGUUCUCCCUGACUCCCUGAGAGUCCUGAAGGAACGUUGAAGACGACGACGUUGAUAGGCCGGGUGUGUAAGCGCAGCGAUGCGUUGAGCUAACCGGUACUAAUGAACCGUGAGGCUUAACCUU
RNAcentral lists this ribosomal RNA (1825 nucleotides) under Escherichia coli UCI 65. Its description in RNAcentral is "bacterial LSU rRNA". It matches the Rfam family "Bacterial large subunit ribosomal RNA", at positions 1122 to 2925 of the family's 2925-position model. Lineage: Bacteria; Pseudomonadati; Pseudomonadota; Gammaproteobacteria; Enterobacterales; Enterobacteriaceae. The record is from RNAcentral.